UACGUAGGGGGCUAGCGUUGCUCGGAAUCACUGGGCGUAGAGGGUGCGUAGGCGGGUCUUUAAGUCAGGGGUGAAAUCCUGGAGCUCAACUCCAGAACUGCCUUUGAUACUGAAGAUCUUGAGUCCGGGAGAGGUGAGUGGAACUGCGAGUGUAGAGGUGAAAUUCGUAGAUAUUCGCAAGAACACCAGUGGCGAAGGCGGCUCACUGGCCCGGUACUGACGCUGAGGCACGAAAGCGUGGGGAGCAAACAGG
Molecule: ribosomal RNA, 253 nt
Filed under: uncultured bacterium
Lineage: Bacteria
Description: partial 16S ribosomal RNA
Rfam family: Bacterial small subunit ribosomal RNA
Source: RNAcentral